Molecule: transfer RNA, 84 nt
Filed under: Gemmatimonadaceae bacterium
Lineage: Bacteria; Pseudomonadati; Gemmatimonadota; Gemmatimonadia; Gemmatimonadales; Gemmatimonadaceae
Also listed under: 1 other name
Description: tRNA-Leu
Rfam family: tRNA
About the family: Transfer RNA (tRNA) molecules are approximately 80 nucleotides in length. Their secondary structure includes four short double-helical elements and three loops (D, anti-codon, and T loops).
Source: RNAcentral
GCCCGGGUGGUGGAAUUGGUAGACGCAGAGGACUCAAAAUCCUCCGACCUCAGGGUCUUGCGGGUUCGAGUCCCGCCCCGGGCA